Molecule: long non-coding RNA, 835 nt
Organism: Electrophorus electricus (electric eel)
Lineage: Eukaryota; Metazoa; Chordata; Actinopteri; Gymnotiformes; Gymnotidae
Source: RefSeq, a predicted model, not a curated record
UGUAAACUGCUGCUCAGAAAGAGAGAAUUGAAUCAUGAAACACAUGGUUUGGUGAAAUGUAUGUGAUCCAUCCAGCGUGAAGAGCAACCGCAACUUUCACAGUCUCCUCCCACCCAAGCUUCUCAGGAGUGAAGGCUCCUCUCAGAGAGAUCGACAUCAGGAUGAGAAGUGUCACUCGCCGGCCGAUACUGAGAGAACACCAGAAGAACUGGGAUGGAACACUAGCCAGUUUUCUCUGGCAGGUAGGUUAGGAGGCCUGCAGCAUGGAUGGUAGCUGCUGUCUGCUGCCUGUUCCUAUCUGCCUUGCUGUCCUGUGUAAAGCACCACCUCAUCUUCACAUCUGGCACUGGGCCACUAGCCCCUCCACCCAGCCGCUCUGGAAGCCUCUGCAACACCAGCUCAGAUUAGAGACAUCUGAGUCAUUCCACUUUAUCAGCAUGAAUGCAGCUGCUCACUCUCAUGUACAGAUGAGAUAAUUACACAGAUUCCACCGAGUGUCGAUGAACCAGGCUUAGGCUGGCCAAGCUGAAGGAACAGCUUCACAGCACAGUGGAUACCUACAAUGCAUACACACAGUAGAUACACACCCUGUAGAUACACACAGUGGGUACACACAGUGGAUGUACACAGUAGACACACACAGUGGAUACUCAAAGUAGCUACACACAGUAGAGGCAAACAGUGGAUGCACAUAAGCAAGCCACUUUGCUGAAUCCAGCUUGAGGCCACUCAUACAGAUAGAGCGAUCUUUUAUAUGUGCACCACUGCUAUGGUAACCACAGCAGCAAAAAAGAGAUCAUACAGAGAAAGGAUGAAAGCAGGGGUUAUGGGCUCC